GGCAUUUUCGCAAUUCGGCGAAGUCAUUGAAUCAAAGGUCUGUUUGUCGCGGAGAUCUGAUACGACCCGUUGUUUCUCUCUGAUCUGUUAACCUUGUUACUCUGUUACUACUGUUACUCUGUUACCACUGUUACUGUUUCUGUUACUGUUACUCUUUUACCUCACCCCUGAUACGGUACGUUCCGUCUUCCUCUUUCUCACAAAAAGGGUCGAAGAUUGAAUUGUCGCUAUUCAGCUUUUUUUUUUUAUUUUUUUUAUUUU
Molecule: long non-coding RNA, 261 nt
Filed under: Erythranthe guttata (spotted monkey flower)
Lineage: Eukaryota; Viridiplantae; Streptophyta; Magnoliopsida; Lamiales; Phrymaceae
Description: long non-coding RNA (EGUT_LNC001061)
Source: RNAcentral